UUCCGGUUGAUCCUGCCGGACCUUACUGCUAUUGGGGCGAGACUAAAACAUGCAAGUUGUGCGUCCUGAGCUAUGGCAGGGCGCAGCGUACGGCUCAGUAACACGUGGCUAACCUACCUUUAGGAUGGGAAUAACCCUGGGAAACUGGGACUAAUUCCAGAUAGGUGAGGGGGCCUGGAACGGUUCCUCACUGAAAAGGCGUCAGAGCCAUGCUUUCUGAUGCUGCCUAAAGAUGGGGCCGCGGCCGAUCAGGUUGUUGGUGAGGUAAUGGCUCACCAAGCCUAUAACCGGUACGGGCCAUGAGAGUGGUAGCCCGGAGAUGGGCACUGAGACAAGGGCCCAGGCCCUACGGGGCGCAGCAGUUGCGAAAACUCCGCAAUGCGCGAAAGCGUGACGGGGUUACCCCAAGUGCCGUCCGCUGAGGAUGGCUUUUCUCUGGUGUAAUGAGCCGGAGGAAUAAGGGGAGGGCAAGACUGGUGUCAGCCGCCGCGGUAAUACCAGCUCCCCGAGUGGUGAGGACAAUUAUUGGGCUUAAAGCGUUCGUAGCCGGCUUGACAAGUCUUCCGUUAAAUCCAGCGACCUAAUCGUUGGGCCGCGGGAGAUACUACCAAGCUAGGGGGCGGGAGAGGCUGACGGUACUCUCGGGGUAGGGGUGAAAUCCUAUANUCCUGAGAAGACCACCAGUGGCGAAGGCGGUCAGCUAGAACGCGCUCGACGGUGAUGGACGAAAGCUGGGGUAGCGAACCGGAUUAGAUACCCGGGUAGUCCCAGCUGUAAACGAUGCGGGCUAGGUGUUGGGGCGGAUACGAGCCGCUUCAGUGCCGUAGGGAAACUGUUAAGCCCGCCGCCUGGGAAGUACGGUCGCAAGGCUGAAACUUAAAGGAAUUGGCGGGGGAGCACUACAAGGCGUGAAGCUUGCGGUUUAAUUGGAGUCAACGCCGGGAACCUUACCGGAGGAGACAGCAGGAUGAAGGUCAGAUUGAAGGUCUUACCAGACAAGCUGAGAGGAGGUGCAUGGCCGUCGCCAGUUCGUGCCGUGAGGUGUCCUGUUAAGUCAGGCAACGAUCGAGACCCGCGCUCCUGGUUGCUACUGGAUCCCGUUGGGAUCCGGGCACACAAGGGGGACCGCCGCCGAUAAGGUGGAGGAAGGAGCGGGCCACGGCAGGUCAGUAUGCCCUGAAUCCUCCGGGCCACACGCGAGCUGCAAUGGUAGGGACAGAGGGUUCCGACUCCGAAAGGAGGAGGCAAUCCCUAAACCCUAUCUCAGUUGGGAUCGAGGGCUGAAACUCGCCCUCGUGAACAUGGAAUGCCUAGUAAUCGCGUGUCAUCAUCGCGCGGUGAAUACGUCCCUGCUCCUUGCACACACCGCCCGUCGAUCCAGCCGAGUGAAGUUUGGAUGAGGCGCAGUCUUUUAGGUUGUGUCGAAUCUAGGUUUUGCAAGGGGGGAUAAGUCGUAACAAGGUAACC
RNAcentral lists this ribosomal RNA (1467 nucleotides) under uncultured Desulfurococcales archaeon. RNAcentral describes it as "bacterial SSU rRNA". It matches the Rfam family "Archaeal small subunit ribosomal RNA". The record is from RNAcentral. Lineage: Archaea; Thermoproteati; Thermoproteota; Thermoprotei; Desulfurococcales.